UCAACCCAAUUCAACUCAAUUCAACCCAAUUCAACUCAACUCAACCCAACUCAACCCAAUUCAACCCAAUUCAACCCAAUUCAACCCAAUUCAACCCAAUUCAACUCAAUCCAACCCAAAACAACUCAACCCAACUCAACCCAAUUGGAUUCAACUCAAUUCAACCCAAUUCAACCCAAUUCAACUCAAUUCAACCCAAUUCAACCCAAUUCAACCCAACUCAACCCAAUUCAACCCAACUGAACCCAAUUCAACUCAAUCCAACCCAAAACAACCCAACCCAACUCAACCCAAUCCAACCCAACUGAAUCCAAUUGGAUUCAGCUCAAUUCAACCCAAUUCAACCCAAUUCAACUCAACCCAACCCAACUCAACCCAACUCAACCCAAUUCAACUCAAUUCAACCCAAUUCAACUCAACCCAAUUCAACCCAAUUCAACCCAACCCAACUCAAUUCAACCCAAUUCAACCCAAUUCAACCCAAUUCAACUCAAUUCAACCCAACUCAACCCAAUUCAACCCAAUUCAACUCAUUUCAACUCAACUCAUCCCACCCCAACCCCACAACCCCAAAUCAACCCAACUCAACCCAAUUGGAUUCAACUCAAUUCAACCCAACUCAUCCCAUCCCAACCCCACAACCCCACUGACCCCCAACCAUCUCCCCAUAGAACUCCCGCUACCAGACGUACCAGCCCCAAACCCCAAUAACCCCAAUAACCCCAUAUAUAACCCCAUAUCUCCCCAUAGAACUCCCGUUACCAGACGUACCAGCCCCUAUCCCUAACCCUAAUACCCCCAAUACCCCCCAUAACCCCAUAUAUAACCCCAUAUCUCCCCAUAGAACUCCUGCUACCAGACGUACCAACCCAACCCAUCCCAGCCCCACAACCCCACUGACCCCCAACCAUCUCCCCAUAGAACUCCCGCUACCAGACGUACCAGCCCCUAUCCCUAACCCUAACCCUAAUUACCCCCAAUACCCCCACUACACCCCAUAUAUCAACCCCAUAUCUCCCGCCAUAGAACCUGCCUACGCAGACCGUCACAGCCUUCUACUCAUCCCU
Molecule: long non-coding RNA, 1067 nt
Filed under: Coturnix japonica (Japanese quail)
Lineage: Eukaryota; Metazoa; Chordata; Aves; Galliformes; Phasianidae
Description: lncRNA (ENSCJPG00005002853.1)
Source: RNAcentral